CCCAGUGUGGCAUAGUGGUUUGAGCAUUUGACUACAACUCUAGAGACCACGGUUUGAUUCCCACUGGGU
Molecule: transfer RNA, 69 nt
Filed under: Phrynosoma platyrhinos (Desert horned lizard)
Lineage: Eukaryota; Metazoa; Chordata; Lepidosauria; Squamata; Phrynosomatidae
Description: tRNA-OTHER
Rfam family: tRNA
About the family: Transfer RNA (tRNA) molecules are approximately 80 nucleotides in length. Their secondary structure includes four short double-helical elements and three loops (D, anti-codon, and T loops).
Source: RNAcentral